UACAGAGGGGGCAAGCGUUAUUCGGAAUUAUUGGGCGUAAAGGGCGCGUAGGCGGUUUUUUAAGUGAGAUGUGCAAUCCCCGAGCUUAACUUGGGAACUGCAUCUCAGACUGGAAGGCUAGAGUGCUGGAGAGGGUGGUAGAAUUCCACGUGUAGCGGUGAAAUGCGUAGAGAUGUGGAGGAAUACCAGUGGCGAAGGCGGCCACCUGGACAGUAACUGACGCUGAGGUGCGAAAGUGUGGGUAGCAAACAGG
This 253-nucleotide ribosomal RNA is filed under the name uncultured bacterium. RNAcentral's name for it is "partial 16S ribosomal RNA". It matches the Rfam family "Bacterial small subunit ribosomal RNA", at positions 524 to 776 of the family's 1533-position model. The record is from RNAcentral.